Molecule: non-coding RNA, 94 nt
Organism: Marasmius oreades (fairy-ring Marasmius)
Lineage: Eukaryota; Fungi; Basidiomycota; Agaricomycetes; Agaricales; Marasmiaceae
Source: the annotation of a RefSeq genome assembly
GGGGGUAUAGCUCAGCUGGGAGAGCAGCAGACUGAAGCCGCAUUUCGUCUUUCUGUGUUUCUGAAGGUCCCGCGUUCGAUCCGCGGUACCCCCA